CUACGGGAGGCAGCAGUGGGGAAUCUUAGACAAUGGGCGCAAGCCUGAUCUAGCCAUGCCGCGUGAGCGAUGAAGGCCUUAGGGUUGUAAAGCUCUUUCAGGGGGGAAGAUAAUGACUGUACCCCCAGAAGAAGCCCCGGCUAACUCCGUGCCAGCAGCCGCGGUAAUACGGAGGGGGCUAGCGUUGUUCGGAAUUACUGGGCGUAAAGCGCACGUAGGCGGACUGGAAAGUUGGGGGUGAAAUCCCGGGGCUCAACCCCGGAACUGCCUUCAAAACUUCCGGUCUUGAGGUCGAGAGAGGUGAGUGGAAUUCCGAGUGUAGAGGUGAAAUUCGUAGAUAUUCGGAGGAACACCAGUGGCGAAGGCGGCUCACUGGCUCGAUACUGACGCUGAGGUGCGAAAGCGUGGGGAGCAAACAGGAUUAGAAACCCUAGUAGUCC
Molecule: ribosomal RNA, 440 nt
Filed under: uncultured bacterium
Lineage: Bacteria
Description: bacterial SSU rRNA
Rfam family: Bacterial small subunit ribosomal RNA
Source: RNAcentral